This 22-nucleotide microRNA is filed under the name Panagrellus redivivus. RNAcentral describes it as "prd-miR-7938-5p". Lineage: Eukaryota; Metazoa; Nematoda; Chromadorea; Rhabditida; Panagrolaimidae. The record is from miRBase by way of RNAcentral.
CGUGUCGGCUGUUGAUCACGGU